This 468-nucleotide ribosomal RNA is filed under the name uncultured bacterium. RNAcentral's name for it is "partial 16S ribosomal RNA". It matches the Rfam family "Bacterial small subunit ribosomal RNA", at positions 28 to 507 of the family's 1533-position model. The record is from RNAcentral.
GACGAACGCUGGCGGCGUGCUUAACACAUGCAAGUCGAACGGUGAAGCUCCAGCUUGCUGGCGUGGAUCAGUGGCGAACGGGUGAGUAACACGUGAGCAACCUGCCCCAGACUCUGGAAUAAGCGCUGGAAACGGCGUCUAAUACUGGAUACGAGAUCAAGCCGCAUGGUUAUGGUCUGGAAAGUUUUUCGGUUUGGGAUGGGCUCGCGGCCUAUCAGCUUGUUGGUGAGGUAAUGGCUCACCAAGGCGACGACGGGUAGCCGGCCUGAGAGGGCGACCGGCCACACUGGGACUGAGACGCGGCCCAGACUCCUACGGGAGGCAGCAGUGGGGAAUAUUGCACAAUGGGCGAAAGCCUGAUGCAGCGACGCCGCGUGAGGGAUGACGGCCUUCGGGUUGUAAACCUCUUUCAGCAGGGAAGAAGCGAAAGUGACGGUACCUGCAGAAGAAGCACCGGCUAACUACGUG